Molecule: long non-coding RNA, 1202 nt
Organism: Triticum aestivum (bread wheat)
Lineage: Eukaryota; Viridiplantae; Streptophyta; Magnoliopsida; Poales; Poaceae
Exons: 6
Source: RefSeq, a predicted model, not a curated record
UACAAUUUUUUCAAGUCGUUUGAUUGACAGUAUACGGUUCAGAUCUGCAGUUGAUUCCACCGUGCUCCUUGCCCCUUCGGGUGACUCCUCCUUGCUCGACCCGUGGAAGCGGAAGCGGAAGCGAACGUGCGACGGAUCCCUCCUCAUUAAAGUUGGUCGCCCCGUCUCUCCUGUUCCCCAUGUCCCUCUCCCCAAACGACACCCGCGCGGCGACGGAUGCAUCUGAAAUCAGCUACAGUGGCGAUGGCGUGGGCAAGGGCAGGAGCACAACGUAAUUGAUCUGGAGGAUGGGUGGAACUUCAAGCGGGCACCAUCUACAAGCUCAUGAACAUCCUCUAGUGCAAGCUGGAUCUGCACUUCAUCUCUACACGGUUCGGCCCCUGUUUGUCUCCUUUUGUCACGCAGCACAAAUCGGGAGCCUUCGCCAUGGCCGCCAAUAUUCAUCUACAAGAUUCAGGGGGAAAUCACCUCACGCAUCUUGAUCUACCAUCUCCUUUUUCUCGGUCAGGUUUGAUGAAGAUUGUGAAAAUUUUGUACACUUUGCCCACUACUGUUUGCAGACAAGCCAUUGCUACAGAUGCAGCAAAAUUAAUUUUCCAUAUAGGCACCAUGAAUGGGCAUAGCUGAAUGAGAGUUUCAGGGCUAUCUCUGUCAGCAUGUUCAGCUUAUGAAACCGACAAGCUAACAUUCUUCUUUGUCAAUGAAAAUUGUGAAGCCUCUCUAAGACUUCUGAAGAAAAAUAGUUUAACAUGGCAUAUAUGUACCAUACGCAGUUUAACAUGGUUCUCAUACUUCAUUGGCCGUGAAGGACACAAGUAUGUACUGCUGGUAAAUGAACUUGGUGAGUAAUCUUUCAAUUAAUAAAAUUGGAUGAAUUUAAAUGGAAACUGAAUAUAGUACAUAUUUUACAUUACUUAUUAUGUGGAUUUUUAGAUUUUUUUUAGGUCUAUGUAGUGAUGACUUUGUUAAACAUUUCUCACCAUUUUUGUCCUUCUUUUGGUCUCUCAGACAUGUAAUCUUAGUGGACUGGAAUCACACCAAGGCAUAUCCGCCUCACCAUAUUAGCUUAUUCACCGCGGACUUUGUAGUAUAGUAACUCUUUUUUUUUACAUCAUAGUGUAGUAACUCUUAGUUAGAUCAUAUUGGUGUUUGUCUUUCCACACUGAUGUGAGAACCAAACAAGUGUCACUAUCAUUGCUAUU